RNAcentral lists this small RNA (117 nucleotides) under Limosilactobacillus fermentum. Its description in RNAcentral is "Lactobacillus fermentum L10_leader". It matches the Rfam family "Ribosomal protein L10 leader". Rfam says of the family: This family is a putative r-protein leader autoregulatory structure found in B. subtilis and other low-GC Gram-positive bacteria. The record is from RNAcentral. Lineage: Bacteria; Bacillati; Bacillota; Bacilli; Lactobacillales; Lactobacillaceae.
UGAUUAAAUAUGACUCUGCCUAAGACUCAGGUGGCGCAAGCCUCAAUACCCUGCCGAGGAAGAAAUGAAAUGUUCCUUCUCUAUGUCUGCCAGUCAUAGGGAAUUUUUUAUAAAUUC